GACGAACGCUGGCGGCGUGCUUAACACAUGCAAGUCGAACGGAAAGGCCCUGCUUUUGUGGGGUGCUCGAGUGGCGAACGGGUGAGUAACACGUGAGUAACCUGCCCUUGACUUUGGGAUAACUUCAGGAAACUGGGGCUAAUACCGGAUAGGAGCUCCUGCUGCAUGGUGGGGGUUGGAAAGUUUCGGCGGUUGGGGAUGGACUCGCGGCUUAUCAGCUUGUUGGUGGGGUAGUGGCUUACCAAGGCUUUGACGGGUAGCCGGCCUGAGAGGGUGACCGGCCACAUUGGGACUGAGAUACGGCCCAGACUCCUACGGGAGGCAGCAGUGGGGAAUAUUGCACAAUGGGCGGGAGCCUGAUACAGCAACGCCGCGUGCGGGAUGACGGCCUUCGGGUUGUAAACCGCUUUCGCCUGUGACGAAGCGUGAGUGACGGUAAUGGGUAAAGAAGCACCGGCUAACUACGUG
Molecule: ribosomal RNA, 468 nt
Filed under: uncultured bacterium
Lineage: Bacteria
Description: partial 16S ribosomal RNA
Rfam family: Bacterial small subunit ribosomal RNA
Source: RNAcentral